Pelodiscus sinensis (Chinese soft-shelled turtle) is the source of this 1114-nucleotide non-coding RNA. The record is from RefSeq and is a predicted model, not a curated record. Lineage: Eukaryota; Metazoa; Chordata; Testudines; Trionychidae.
AGCCGGCGCCAGGGUUUGUCCUCCCCGCCCUUCACCGCCCGUUCCGGCCAUGCCGGCGUUGCUCCCGCCCGUCCGCGUCUCCGGGCUCUCCCCACGGGCUCUGGGGUCGGGCGGGGCGCGGCCACGCCAGACGCCGCCCCGUCACACACCUCCACCCUUAGACUCCCCCCUAUACUUGCCACCCCUUCGCCCGCUCGGUCCGGUAUUCGGGACAAACUGUCAGCGUUCGCAUUAGCGGUACCAGGCCGAUGCUUUAUUUCAAACUGAUAUGGCUGAAGGCUCAGGUACCAGUGCAGUAUCCUGGGGUUCGUUUCCUUCAUUGUGCAGAUCCAUUGGAGUGGUGCAUGGUCCGUCACCAGCGUGAACUUGUCCCCUAGGAGAAAAUACCGAAGAGCAUCAAUGGCCCAUUUCACCGCUAGGGCUUCCUUUUCAAUAGUCGCAUGCCCUUUUUCUCUGGGGAAGAGUUUCCGACUCAAGUACAAGAAUAUGCUGUGUGGUUUGCCUGACUUGAUGGUGUGUCAGAGAAGGAUCCUGUGGAGGCAAAAGGAAGCUCCAGCAACUCAAAGGUUGUUCACCACUCAGUUUGCACAGUCCCUUUCCACUGGUAUUGGACAUAUUUCUGGAGGCAAGAAAGGGCCAUGCAAAGUGUAACAACACACCAAGCCUGAAGGCGGCCAAGAAGAAGUAGAGCCCUCCUGCAGAUCCGUAGUGACCUCCAGGGACCCUCGUCGCCUUAAUGGUUGAUCUCCGGGAAGCUGACACCUGGCCAGCUACUUGUGAAAUCAGAAGUAAUCUAUGCCACAACUGUAGCCUGCCUCCAAACUGCCAAUAUGAAUGUGAGGUGUGUGUAUGUAAGUAUUUCCAUACCCUUAAGAAUCUAUGCUAACAAACAAGCUUCAGUGCUGCUUGAUUUCACCCUUUGUUUGGUUAUUCCUUGGCUGAGUCUGAAGGCAACACAGACCACCAGACCAGGAGAAUGAGGUAGAUGAGGCUUUCUUCAGAAAUUAAAAGAAGUUUCCAGAUCACAGGCCCUGGUUCUCAUGGGUUCAGUCAGGAAGUUUUUGAAGAGUUUUGAGGACAAAUUCGUGGUGCAAGUGCUGAAGGAAUCAACUUG